AUUGAACGCUGGCGGCAGGCUUAACACAUGCAAGUCGAACGAUGAUUUCCCAGCUUGCUGGGAAUGAUUAGUGGCGGACGGGUGAGUAACAUUUAGGAAUCUGCCUAGUAGUGGGGGAUAGCUCGGGGAAACUCGAAUUAAUACCGCAUACGACCUACGGGUGAAAGGGGGCGCAAACUCUUGCUAUUAGAUGAGCCUAAAUCAGAUUAGCUAGUUGGUGGGGUAAAGGCCCACCAAGGCGACGAUCUGUAACUGGUCUGAGAGGAUGAUCAGUCACACCGGAACUGAGACACGGUCCGGACUCCUACGGGAGGCAGCAGUGGGGAAUAUUGGACAAUGGGGGCAACCCUGAUCCAGCCAUGCCGCGUGUGUGAAGAAGGCCUUUUGGUUGUAAAGCACUUUAAGCAGGGAGGAGAGGCUAAUGGUUAAUACCCAUUAGAUUAGACGUUACCUGCAGAAUAAGCACCGGCUAACUCUGUGCCAGCAGCCGCGGUAAUACAGAGGGUGCGAGCGUUAAUCGGAAUUACUGGGCGUAAAGCGAGUGUAGGUGGCUCAUUAAGUCACAUGUGAAAUCCCCGGGCUUAACCUGGGAACUGCAUGUGAUACUGGUGGUACUAGAAUAUGUGAGAGGGAAGUAGAAUUCCAGGUGUAGCGGUGAAAUGCGUAGAGAUCUGGAGGAAUACCGAUGGCGAAGGCAGCUUCCUGGCAUAAUAUUGACACUGAGAUUCGAAAGCGUGGGUAGCAAACAGGAUUAGAUACCCUGGUAGUCCACGCCGUAAACGAUGUCUACUAGCCGUUGGGGUCCUUGAGACUUUAGUGGCGCAGUUAACGCGAUAAGUAGACCGCCUGGGGAGUACGGCCGCAAGGUUAAAACUCAAAUGAAUUGACGGGGGCCCGCACAAGCGGUGGAGCAUGUGAUUUAAUUCGAUGCAACGCGAAGAACCUUACCUGGUCUUGACAUAGUGAGAAUCCUGCAGAGAUGCGGGAGUGCCUUCGGGAAUUCACAUACAGGUGCUGCAUGGCUGUCGUCAGCUCGUGUCGUGAGAUGUUGGGUUAAGUCCCGCAACGAGCGCAACCCUUUUCCUUAUUUGCCAGCGGGUUAAGCCGGGAACUUUAAGGAUACUGCCAGUGACAAACUGGAGGAAGGCGGGGACGACGUCAAGUCAUCAUGGCCCUUACGACCAGGGCUACACACGCGCUACAAUGGUAGGUACAGAGGGUUGCUACACAGCGAUGUGAUGCUAAUCUCAAAAAGCCUAUCGUAGUCCGGAUUGGAGUCUGCAACUCGACUCCAUGAAGUCGGAAUCGCUAGUAAUCGCAGAUCAGAAUGCUGCGGUGAAUACGUUCCCGGGCCU
Molecule: ribosomal RNA, 1355 nt
Filed under: uncultured bacterium
Lineage: Bacteria
Description: bacterial SSU rRNA
Rfam family: Bacterial small subunit ribosomal RNA
Source: RNAcentral